AGAGGGAUAGCUGGGUCAAAUGGUGGUUUCAUUCCAAGUUUUCUGAGGAAUCUCCAUACUGCUUUUUAUAAUGGUUGUAACAAUUUGCAGUCCCACCAGCAAU
This 103-nucleotide microRNA precursor is filed under the name Marmota monax (woodchuck). Lineage: Eukaryota; Metazoa; Chordata; Mammalia; Rodentia; Sciuridae. The record is from RNAcentral.